GAGACCGCUACCAAUUCGGUACGGUUCGGGCGCGGCGAGCGGACCGCCGAACGGACAGCACCUCCCCUGUCCGCCCAAGGCUCAAACGACGAGAUUGUGUACAACAAGUUCCCAGGAAAACAACUUGAAUACAUACACAAUCAUUCAACAACAACGAAAGCACAAACAAUGCUAUGCGAUACGAGAGCAAGCAUCACGAGUAAUACAACCAUACAAGUAAAUGAAAGAGAGAUAUACUUAACUACUAAACUCAUUUAACUUUAUACAAUUAUUACAAUUUGCAUUCUUCCAAACCCGUACAAUAUAUAUACAAUCAUCUCAAAACCUCACCCUAUACAUCGAUCUACUCUCAAAAUAGGUACAAUGUAACUCUAGUGCAAAUAGGAAAGUAAACUACUAUACCUCUAGGGCACUAUGCCCUUACCGCGAUCCUCACCGGGGGCGCUCGAGCUCGGACCUGCAACAUGGUGGAGUGAGAACUACGAAUAGUUCCCAGUGGGUUCGGCCGCCGACUCCGCCGAUCUCCCCACUAGGUCUAAGCAGGCAUAGAGAGACACUAGAUAGGUAGAUAGAUAUUUGGAAUUGAAAGCAUUACUGAUAAUUAAACAAGUAAACAUCUAACUAUGCCUCAAUCCGACGUAAUGCAUGCAUGAUAAUCAUAGUAAAGGUUGACUACUAGUCUACUAUGUUCAACAAUGAAGUUAUUCAUUAGAUCACCCAAUCUCUCGGCUAAACCGAGGUUCGCUCUGAGUCUCACGUGUGUAAGCCUCAUAGGGGCGAAGUCCAGCUGCUUGACUAGCCCCGAGACCGCCUACGGACAGAUACGUUAGUCCAAGGGCAAGUACGUUAGCCCCCUCGUGUGACAACCUCCGGAGUGCACUACCUGUGUGGAGCUACCACCUCAGGUACAGACAGGCUAAGUGAGCUCGAUCCAAUCUCAUGAACUGGGAACACCCUACCAACUAGGGUUGGUCUCAACAUAGAAUCAAAGUAUUCUAGUUCUCAAUCUCAUAGUGUUCGGCUACACUAAGGUUUUCAUGUUCCAUAUCAACUAGAUGCCACUCGUUCUGUGUUCAUUGGUGACUAGAUGCCACUCGUUCUCAAUACACUAGUUUACAAUAUACUAGGUUCUUAUUCACAUAAACAUGCUCAUCUCAUAUAGGGUUAACUUCCUCACAUUCAACUCAUGCAUACUAGGUUCUCAUUCACUAUAUUCACAAAACCAGACUAACACUAGCAUGCAAUAAGAUGUAACAAUUGCAUUUAACACCCUAUAAUGCUAUAUUACAAUAUGCACUUGAUCAAUAUGAAAACUUAGACAUAGGGAGAAGUUCAACUGCUUCGGGAUGGCACUCCCCCACCUUUUGGUAGCGCCGUAAAGCUAGAAAACUCGACGUCGCGGUCCUCGCACGUCGCUUCACUCGGGGCAAAAUGAACCCACAAGUACUUGUUUCGGCGAUAUCUUCGCACUCGCUUGUCGGAUCGACGAACCAUCUUUGCCAACGCAUUUAUAGACCUAGCAAUUAGGUUUACGACCCAUCAAAAUAGAUCAAAACCUUAGAUUUUCAAAAAUCCCAAAACGUGCCCUAGAAUGGCAACGAGGGAGAAAUCUAUGGUUCGAGCUUCGAAUCUGUGCUAGAACCAUCUAUUUAACUCCUCUAGGUUCCAUUCAAAUCAUUUCUAAGCAACAAAACCCAAUCUCAAGAAAUCCACCAUGGAUGGGUUUGGAGCUUACCUCUACACCAAGCUCCAAGCUUGCUCUUGCUUGAGGGAGAGAGAAGAAGAAGAUGAUCUCUUUCUUCUUCUUAGUCUUCUCCUUCAACUCCUUCUUCUUCUCUUUCUUCCUUCCCUUCUUCUCUUCUUCUUUUCCUUUCGUUCUAGAGAGAGAGGGAGAGAGAAAAAGAGGGCAAAUGAGACAAAUGGGAGAGAGAGAGGUCCCCCACCUCUCAUAUAGGCCAUUUUGCAGAUAGCCCCCUCAACUUUUCGUCCUCUGAAGCAGCCCUCACUGGGCAUUUUCGCAGUGAGGGACCGGUCCCAAGUCGGGGAGACCGGUCCCUGAGAGCCUACCACUUAGGCAGAGGGGAUUUCGCAUUCGGGAACCGGUCCCUGCCUGAGAGACCGGACCCCGGGAGACCGGUCCUUGCCUGAGAGACUGGUUCCCGAGAGUGGUAUUUUCGGGACUUAGCCAAAUUUCGGCCUCUUCUCGCUGGGUUAACGUUCGGGAACCGGUCCCUCCUUGCCAGAGACUAGUUGCCUCAAGGAUCCCUGCCAGCCCAGCCAAUGGGACCGGUUCCUCCCUGCCAGGGACCGGUCCCCGAGAGCAAUUCUGCUCCAGUGCAAAAUUUGCACUGCUGCUCUCGCGGACUCUUCCUUAAUGCACUUUAUGCAUUUUAAUCAUCUUCGGACUUUCCGAAGCCUACCCACUCGACAGUCAGUCGAUUCUAAACGAAGUCAAAUCCUCGAAUUUCGAUAAUUCACUUCCCUUACAUCCUCCCCACCUUACAAGAGUUUCGUCCUCGAAACGAACUCGACAAUAUUAAACUCAUCGAGAAUUUAAACUUUAGGUCCAUACCUCAAUUUAAUCCUCAAAUAAGUGAGGGUGAUGCAUCAUCAUCUCGCUCUCGAGCUCCCAAGUGGCUUCGCGAUCACUAUGAUCGCUCCACCGAACUUUAACAUAGGGGAUUUCUCGAUUCCUCAACUUGCGCACCUCCCGAGCCAAUAUCAUCACCGGAAACUCCUCGUAGCUCAUAUCUUCUUGCAGUUCCGGCGGCUCAUACACCAAGACAUGCUCAGGAUCAUGCAUAUACUUGCGGAGAUUGGAGACGUAGAAUACAUUGUGCACACCUGCAAGCUUGGGUGGCAAUGCUAGUCGGUAAGCCACUGUCCCAACCCGCUCCAAAAUCUCGUAGGGGUCGAUAUAACGAGGACUCAGCUUUCCUCGCACCCCAAAUCUUUUCACGCCUCUCAUCGGCGAAACCUUCAAAAACACGCGGUCACCCACCGCGAACUCCAAAUCUCUACGGCGCUUAUCUGAAUAACUUUUCUGUCGGGACUGCGCCGUGAGCAAUCUCUUGCGAGCAAGGUGGACUUUCUCCUCCGCCUCUCGCAACACGUCGAGACCGAAUUCCACUCGCUCACCUACAUCACUCCAAUGAAUGGGAGAUUGGCACUUCCGCCCAUAAAGAGCCUCGAACGGUGCCAUUCCCACACUCGCGUGAUAACUGUUGUUGUAGGCGAACUCGACCAUCGGCAGGUGCUUACACCAACUCCCCUUAUAAUCAAUGGCACACGCCCGCAACAUAUCCUCUAGGGUCUGGAUGGUUCUCUCGGUCUGCCCAUCAGUCUGAGGAUGAAACGCGGUACUAAACUCGAGUCGCGUGCUAAGGGCUUCCUGCAGGCUUCUCCAAAAGUGUGAAGUGAACUUGGGGUCUCGAUCUGACACAAUCUACUUCGGCACCCCAUGCAGCCUCACCACCUCAUCAAGAUACACUUGCGCUAGCUUCUCGCCUGCCCAAGUGUUGUGGAUCGGCAGGAAGUGUGUCGAUUUCGUCAAACGAUCCACAAUCACCCAAAUUACAUCGUAGUCACCCGUCGAACGAGGUAAGUCGACGACGAAAUCCAUCGAUAUGUCUUCCCAUUUCCAGACGGGAAUAGAUAAACUCUAUAGCUUCCCCGCUGGAAACCGACGCUUUGCUUUCAUCUGUUGGCAUAUCAAACACUUCGCCACAAAGCGCCCAAUAUCAGCUUUCAUUCCCGGCCACCAAUAAAGCAUCUUCAACUCGUGAAACAUUUUGGUGCCGCUCGGCUGGUUCACGUAAGGUGACCAAUGCGCUUCUUGCAAAAUCAGUGUGCGAAGCUCCUCGUCGUUUAGCACACACCACCGGUUUCGAAACCGAAGUGCACCGCUAGCAUCCACGCUAAAAUCUCCACUACGGCCACUUUCAACAUCGUGCCGCACCUUCUAAAGAGUCGGGUCCGCAGAUUGCAGAUUCUUGAUCCUCUCCAAUAAGGUCGGUUGGACCACCAACAUCAUCAACCUAGCCGGAGUUUCUGGAGCCACCACCUCAAGAUCUAUCUUCCCCAUUUGCAGCCAUAGGGGUGUCUGAUUUGUAACCCACGAGGCGAGGUUCUCCGCGGAUUUUCGGCUAAGUGCAUCCGCGACUACAUUCGCUUUCCCGGGGUGGUAAAGGAUAUCAAUAUCGUAAUCCUUAAGCAAUUCCAACCACCGCCGUUGCCGCAUAUUCAACUCCUUCUGAGUAAAUAAAUACUUUAGGCUUUUAUGGUCGGUGUAGAUCUCGCAAUGAGCACCAUAUAGAUAGUGUCUCCAAGGCUUUAAAGCAAAGAUCACCGCCGCCAAUUCCAAAUCAUGUAUGGGAUAGUUCUUUUCAUAGCUUUUUAAUUGACGGGAUGCAUAAGCAAUCACCCUCCCGCCUUGCAUCAGCACACACCCCAAACCCAGAUAGGACACGUCGCUAAAAACGACGUAAUCUUCACCCUGCACCGGUAAGGCGAGUACCGGAGUAGAAGUUAAUCUUUCCUUCAACUCUUUAAAACUCCGGUCACAAUCGUCGCUCCAAAUAAAUCUGGUGCCCUUCUGCGUCAGACGGGUGAGUGGAGUCACGAUCUUCGAGAAUCCUUCCACAAACCGUCGAUAAUAACCUGCCAGGCCCACAAAGCUGCGAACCUCAGCAACAUUCGUCGGGCGCGGCCAACUCUCAAUGGCCUCCACUUUCCCCGGGUCCACAAAAACACCGCCCUCGAAAAUGACAUGCCCGAGAAACGCGACUUCUCAAAGCCAGAAGUCACACUUCUUCAGCUUUGCGUACAACUUCUUUUCCUGAAGGAUUUGAAGUACAAUGCGUAAAUGCUCCACAUGCUCCUCUUUAUUGCGCAAAUAGACCAAGAUGUCGUCUAUGAAGACUACGACAAAUCGGUCUAGACACUCCCUGAACACUCGAUUCAUCAAGCACAUGAACGCAGCCGGGGCAUUUGUAAGCCCAAACGGCAUCACAGUGAACUCGUAGUGUCCAUACCGCGUGCGGAAGGCGAUCUUCGGAACAUCCUCCGGCUUGAUCUUCAACUGAUGGUAGUCGGAUUGAAGGUUAAUCUUCGAGUACACUCGCGACCCCUGUAGCUGAUCAAACAAGUCGUUGAUGCGGGGUAACGGGUACUUGUUCUUCACAGUGACCUUAUUGAACUCGCAGUAGUCCACGCAGAGUGUAAAAGAUUCGUCAUUCUUACGCACGAACAAUACCGGGGCUCCCCACGGUGACACGCUCAGCCUAACAAACUCUUUGUCAAGAAGAUCCUGCAAUUGAUCUCUCAACUCUUUCAGUUCAGCCGACGCCAUGCGAUAAGGGGCCUUUGAUAUCGGUGCGGUCCCAGGAAUCAAGUCUAUCAUGAACUCAAUCUCCCGGUCCGGCGGCAUUCCUGGUAACUCCAUGGGAAAUACAUCUGGGAACUCCCGCACAAUCGCCAAUUCUUCGAGAGUCGGAACUACUCGAUCGACUUCCACGAGGUCGCCAAAUAAGUCGUGCAACCACUGUUGACUAGCUUCCUCGCUCUUGUCGCCAACACCGUCGCGGCGAAACACGAACUCUGGCAAGCUCAAUACGUGAACUCCUCGUGUCCCGUGUCACGCCCCGAUGCCGCUACCAAUUUGGUCCGGUUCGAGCGCGUCGAACAGACGCCGAACGGACAGCACCUCCCCUGUCCGCCCAAGGCUAAGCAACCAGAUCAUGUACAAAUAAGCGCCCAGGAAUGCUUAGAUAACAUACAUGAUCAAACAUAGUGCACACAAGUGCAAUACAUCUUAGAGCAAGAACCACAAGUAAUAUACUAGUGUAUAAAGAGAGAUAGUCUAACUAUUACAUUCAUUCAAUAGUUACAUCAUUUGAUUGCAUUACAUUUUUCAUCUACCGAAAUGUAAAUACAUAUUUUCCUCAAAAUACAAGUAGCUCUCCCAUAUCUAUCCAAACAUCAUCUAGUACACGAGGGUACUCUAAUGCAUAAAGGAAAAGCUACCAACUAAACUCACUUAGGGCGCUAUGCCCUUACCGCGGUCCUCACUUGACUCGCCUCUGUGUGUNGCAUCAUUUAAACUGUACUUGGAUCCCUAUCAUCCUCAGGGUUGUAACUAAUAUAUAGUACUAACACGUCGUCUCCGUGUAACUGGGAUCAUCUGUCCCAUAGGAGAACACUCCUAACCUAGUAUGAGUGAUCAGAUAAAACGAACAGCUACCAGCGAGGUGGCUCCGUGCUCAGAGGCCUCAUGAAGUGAUCUCCGUCUGCAUCAACAGGGCGUCUGCCAAAGCCACACGCUCACGUCAAAGAGGAGUGGAUACUCUAACUCUCACUCAGCUCCCAAAUUGGAAGCCCAAUUGGUUCACCUAACCCAUUAUUCAUACUUUACGUAUCAUCUGAACGUAAUAAUGGAACUCAUCUGUAUCACAUACAACAUCAAAUGUAAUGAUACGUGGAAAUAUAUGAGUACUGUACUAUAAUCGUACUAUCAUCAACAACGUACGUAAUAAUAGUAACCACCGUACUAUCUCAUCAACGUCAAAUAGAAACAUAUAGAUAGAUAGAGAGAUAGACACGAUCGAAUCUGGAUCACCCUUUUGGCCGCCGCAGCCGCCGGCUUGGGUGACCCUUGAUAUAAAUAUAUCAAGAGUGGGGCACACCUAGACUCGAUGCCACUCGUUCGAUCAUUGUAGUAAGUUUUCUAUUAGUUGACAUGCCACUCGUUUAAUGCCACUCUACUGGGCUAUCAUACGUCCAAGUUCGGCUCUUUAUGCCAUUAUAGGAUUCUAUGCCAUAAGACCCAAUCCUCAUGCUAUCCUAGUCUAGGUGUUCAACUCAUAGGUACACUACUAAGAAGCAUGCAAGGAAAAAGAAAAUAUACAUCUAUUAAUCCUAUAAUGCAAUAUGAUCAACACAUAUAUAACUUAGACAUAAAAAGAAACCCGGAUGUUCCAGAACGACACCCCCCACCUCUUGAGGGUAUGAAGGCUCUAGAAAUGUGCCUCGGCGUCCUUUACGACGAAGCCUCGGUCUUCUCGUCCAAAGCGAUGCUCAACCGGCCUUAUUUUGUCGAUAGCUUUUGACCCGCUCGACGAAUUGAAUUUUCGACUUCGCCCCCGCGUUUCGUUACCUAGCAAUUAGGUUUUCAAGGCUUCAAAUGAGAUCAAUCUCAUACUUUACCAAAAACCCUAUUUUGGUGCCCUAGGGUUAGCAUCAAGCUAAACCCAUCUCAAAACCCUAGAUUCUAGCUCUAAUCCUUCCAUUCAUGGUGCUAGGAAUCCAUUUGAUCCCAUCCGAAGAGCUAAAACCCCAAAAACCCCAAAUCUCACAAGCUAGGGCUAGAAACUUACCUCUAGGUUAGCUUAAAAGAGAGAAGAGAGGAUGAAGGAGAAGUCCAAAAGCUUCCUUUUGUUGAUCUCCUUCUUCUUCUCCUUCCUUUUCUUCCUUCUUUUCCUUCUCCUUUCUUCUUCUCCUUCUUUUUCUCCUUCUUUUUCUCCUUCUUUUCUAGAGAGAGAAAGCAAGAGAGUGUGAGGGAGGGAGAGAGAGUGGACUGAGAGAGAGUGAGAGGGAGAGAGGGACUAAUAAGCCCUCUAAUGUAACAAUAUCCAGCUGGCCCCCCCCACUUUUCACUCUGUGCGCAGCCCUCACUGGGCGUUCUGCGCGCGGAGGGACCGGUCUCCCCGACUUGGGACCGGUCCCCGAGAGCUUCAGCUCGGGUCACGCGUUCGGGUACCGGUCUCUCCCAGAGAGACCGGUCCUCGGGAGACCGGUUCCUUCCUGAGAGACCGGUUCCCGAGAGCUGGGACUUCAGGACUUAGCCAAUUUUUGGCUUCUCGUGCUGGGAUCACGUUCGGGAACCGGUCCCUCACUGCCAGGGACCGGUUGCCUCAAGCAACCCCCGCAACACCAGCCGAUGGGACCGGUCUCUCCCUGCCAGGGACCGGUCCCCGAGAGCAGUUUUGCUCCAGUGCAGAUUUCGCACUAUUUGCUCUCGUGGACUCGUUUUCAAUGCACUUUUGGUGAUUUUAAUAUCUUUGAUUUUUUUUUCCAAAGUACACCAACACGACCGUUGGUCGGUUCGGGAUGAAGUCAAAUCUCUCGUAUUUCGAGAAUUCACUUCCUCACAUCCCGGCACCCGAAAUAUGAUCACUCUAGCUUUGCAGUCGAUAGACACAUAAUACUUCGAGAGCCAAUCCAUGCCUAAUAUUAUGUCGAACUCUUUCAAUCUUUUGAGUACCAAUAGAUCGACCGGCAUAACCCAGUCGCCUACUUGCACUGGGCACGCCAAACACCACUUCCUAACAACAAAUGACUGUCCGGGUCCUUCUACAUGUCAAACGUUCUCCCCUAGACGAAUCUCGACAUCAUGCUCUUGAGCAAAUGAUCGGUUAAUGAACGAGUGAGACGCGCCAGUAUCCAAAAAAGCCCUUGCUCGAACACUGUUAACCAAAAUCAUACCUGCCACCACAUUGCGCUCCUCGGCUUCGGUGGGUUCCUCGACUUGCACUUGAGCGGCAUACACCCGGCCGCUCAGAGCCGAUCGUGCUGGUUCAGGUUGGUGUGGCGCCGCCGCACGUCCAACCGACGCUGCAGCAAGUGGAACUCCAUAACGAGCCGAAAUCGCCAGGGCCGAUGCAACAGACGGGGCAGGAGAAGCUCCUCCCUGAGGACAGUCACGUGCAAUGUGUCCGGCUUGCCCGCACUUAAAGCACUUUCCUCGGCGCUGCUCACAUACACUAGGUCGGUGGUCACCGCCACAAAAGAUACACCGCUGUGCUCCGCGGCCCUUCAAUUGCGAUCGUGGAUACUUCUGGGGCUUCCUAGAACUCGAUUGUCCCCCCGAACUACCGCCCGGUCGCUUCCUCUCUUUGUCCUUCUCGUACAUCUCACGAUCCUCACGCUCGCAAGCGUUCUCGUGCUCGACCCACAAGGCACGGUCCAAGGCCUUCUCAAAAGUAUGGAACUUGAAGGCAUGCACCGUCCGAAACACUCCUGGUCGGAGUCCUCUCACGAAGCAAUCUGCUCGGUCUUGCUCCGUUACCGCAACGUCCGGGACGCAAUUCAAAAGAUGGGUGAACUCCCGCUCGUACUCCCGAACCGUGCGGUUGCCUUGCUUAAGCUUCCUGAAGUCUUCCCGCAUCUUCCGCCUAUCACUGUCGGGGAAGUACUCCGCAAACAACAGCUUCCGGAACUCCUCCCAAUCGAUCGGGGUAAGAGCCGGAGCUCGAUCUUGCUUUACUCGCUUCCACCACACUUGGGCCCGUUUGUCGAAACAGUGUGCGGCCAAAUUCACCUUAUCUCGCUCCUCAGUGUAGAUGUCCUCGAACAGGGUCUCCAUUGUCGCUAACCAUGUCUCCACUGUCCAAGGAUCUAUCACAUCUCCGUCGAACGUAGGCCGGUGAAAUUUCGUGAAUCUUGUGAGAGCCAUGUAUCCCGGCUCUCGCUCCGCCUCCUCAGCCGCCACUACAGGCGUAGGAAAACUCGACACCGCAGGAGGAAUAUCCACCGGUGGGGGUUGCGCCGCCACCGGAACCGGCGCAUCGCCCACACCCUCAGCCGCAUUAGGAGUGCGAACCGAAGGGGCAGGCGGAUCACGGCCUAGACCAACUGCCGUCGCUGCCUAUCGCUCCAACAUCUCCUGGAGCCGAUCGAACCGUCCCGUUAGCGCCGCAACCUACGCUCGCAACUCUUGUACCUCACUAGGCCCAGCUGGCUCUGGCGCCACCGGAGGCACAGCUGGCUCGGGCAGCUCUGGAGGUGGUGCCGGAGCAGUCCUACACGCAUAACGUCUCUUCGGUGCCAUUAGCUCCUGAAACGCAAACAGUUGGUUAAUUAUCUAACCCAACAACGUCUUCGCAAUUACGAAACGACAUAGUUCAACUAUGUUAAUCAGACGGAAGCUCAUAAGUGUACCCGUUCUCGACUCUCGGCAUUGUGUUGUCAGCCGCCAACACAACCGCCUUGAGCCAAGGACUAGUAUCACUCAAUUCACCUCUAGCAAUUACUAGAGUAUCAACACCAACUUUGACCCAAUCGAUCAACUUCCGCCGUGUCAUAGGUUCACGUCGCACUCACGCACCUAUAAUCCUCAAGGUUCACCAUCCUAAAGUCUCCUAGGUCCACCCUAGACUCUCUCUUCUACUUGCUCUUACUCGCUCUGAUACCACGACUGUCACGCCCCUGCCCCGAGACCGCUAUCAAUUCGAUACGGUUCGGGCGCGGCGAGCGGACCACCGAACGGACAGCACCUCCCCUGUCCGCCCAAGGCUCAAACGACGAGAUUGUGUACAACAAGUUUCCAGGAAAACAACUUGAAUACAUACACAAUCAUUCAACAACAACGAAAGCACAAAGAGUGCUAUGCGAUACGAGAGCAAGCAUCACGAGUAAUACAACCAUACAAGUGAAAAAAAGAGAGAUAUACUUAACUACUAAACUCAUUUAACUUUAUACAAUUAUUACAAUUUGCAUUCUUCCAAACCCGUACAAUAUAUAUACAAUCCUCUCAAAACCUCACCCUAUACAUCGAUCUACUCUCAAAAUAGGUACAGGGUAACUCUAGUGCAAAUAGGAAAGUAAACUGCUACAAUCUCUAGGGCGCUAUGCCCUUACCGCGAUCCUCACCGGGGGCGCUCGAGCUCGGACCUGCAACAUGGUGGAGUGAGAACUACGAAUAGUUCCCAGUGGGUUCGGCCACCGACUCCGCCGAUCUCCACACUAGGUCUAAGCAGGCAUAGAGAGACACUAGAUAGGUAGAUAGAUAUUUGGAAUUGAAAGCAUUACUGAUAAUUAAACAAGUAAACAUCUAACUAUGCCUCAAUUCGAUGUAAUGCAUGCAUGAUAAUCAUAGUAAAGGUUGACUACUAGUCUACUAUGUUCAACAAUAAAGUUAUUCAUUAGAUCACCCAAUCUCUCGGCUAAACUGAGGUUCGCUCUCAGUCUCA
This 10967-nucleotide long non-coding RNA is filed under the name Ananas comosus (pineapple). Its description in RNAcentral is "long non-coding RNA (ACOM_LNC008920)". Lineage: Eukaryota; Viridiplantae; Streptophyta; Magnoliopsida; Poales; Bromeliaceae. The record is from RNAcentral.